This 535-nucleotide ribosomal RNA is filed under the name uncultured Pantoea sp. RNAcentral's name for it is "bacterial SSU rRNA". It matches the Rfam family "Bacterial small subunit ribosomal RNA", at positions 771 to 1304 of the family's 1533-position model. Lineage: Bacteria; Pseudomonadati; Pseudomonadota; Gammaproteobacteria; Enterobacterales; Erwiniaceae. The record is from RNAcentral.
AACCGGAUUAGAUACCCUGGUAGUUCCACGCCGUAAAACGAUGUCGACUUGGAGGUUGUUCCCUUGAGGAGUGGCUUCCGGAGCUAACGCGUUAAGUCGACCGCCUGGGGAGUACGGCCGCAAGGUUAAAACUCAAAUGAAUUGACGGGGGCCCGCACAAGCGGUGGAGCAUGUGGUUUAAUUCGAUGCAACGCGAAGAACCUUACCUACUCUUGGCAUCCAGCGAACUUAGCAGAGAUGCUUUGGUGCCUUCGGGAACCGUGAGACAGGUGCUGCAUGGCUGUCGUCAGCUCGUGUUGUGAAAUGUUGGGUUAAGUCCCGCAACGAGCGCAACCCUUAUCCUUUGUUGCCAGCGAUUCGGUCGGGAACUCAAAGGAGACUGCCGGUGAUAAACCGGAGGAAGGUGGGGAUGACGUCAAGUCAUCAUGGCCCUUACGAGCAGGGCUACACACGUGCUACAAUGGCGCAUACAAAGAGAAGCGACCUCGCGAGAGCAAGCGGACCUCACAAAGUGCGUCGUAGUCCGGAUCGGAGU